Molecule: ribosomal RNA, 513 nt
Filed under: Bacillus safensis
Lineage: Bacteria; Bacillati; Bacillota; Bacilli; Caryophanales; Bacillaceae
Description: bacterial SSU rRNA
Rfam family: Bacterial small subunit ribosomal RNA
Source: RNAcentral
GUGAGUAACACGUGGGUAACCUGCCUGUAAGACUGGGAUAACUCCGGGAAACCGGAGCUAAUACCGGAUAGUUCCUUGAACCGCAUGGUUCAAGGAUGAAAGACGGUUUCGGCUGUCACUUACAGAUGGACCCGCGGCGCAUUAGCUAGUUGGUGGGGUAAUGGCUCACCAAGGCGACGAUGCGUAGCCGACCUGAGAGGGUGAUCGGCCACACUGGGACUGAGACACGGCCCAGACUCCUACGGGAGGCAGCAGUAGGGAAUCUUCCGCAAUGGACGAAAGUCUGACGGAGCAACGCCGCGUGAGUGAUGAAGGUUUUCGGAUCGUAAAGCUCUGUUGUUAGGGAAGAACAAGUGCGAGAGUAACUGCUCGCACCUUGACGGUACCUAACCAGAAAGCCACGGCUAACUACGUGCCAGCAGCCGCGGUAAUACGUAGGUGGCAAGCGUUGUCCGGAAUUAUUGGGCGUAAAGGGCUCGCAGGCGGUUUCUUAAGUCUGAUGUGAAAGCCCCC